RNAcentral lists this ribosomal RNA (301 nucleotides) under uncultured bacterium. RNAcentral's name for it is "partial 16S ribosomal RNA". It matches the Rfam family "Bacterial small subunit ribosomal RNA", at positions 509 to 809 of the family's 1533-position model. The record is from RNAcentral.
CAGUCGCCGCGGGAAUACAGAGGGUGCGAGCGUUAAUCGGAUUUACUGGGCGUAAAGCGUGCGCAGGCGGUUAUAUAAGACAGAUGUGAAAUCCCCGGGCUCAACCUGGGAACUGCAUUUGUGACUGUAUAGCUAGAGUACGGCAGAGGGGGAUGGAAUUCCGCGUGUAGCAGUGAAAUGCGUAGAUAUGCGGAGGAACACCGAUGGCGAAGGCAAUCCCCUGGGCCUGUACUGACGCUCAUGCACGAAAGCGUGGGGAGCAAACAGGAUUAGAUACCCCAGUAGUCCCUGUCUCUUAUAA